RNAcentral lists this ribosomal RNA (466 nucleotides) under uncultured bacterium. RNAcentral's name for it is "partial 16S ribosomal RNA". It matches the Rfam family "Bacterial small subunit ribosomal RNA", at positions 29 to 506 of the family's 1533-position model. The record is from RNAcentral.
ACGAACGCUGGCGGCGUGCUUAACACAUGCAAGUCGAACGGAAAGGCCCUGCUUUUGUGGGGUGCUCGAGUGGCGAACGGGUGAGUAACACGUGAGUAACCUGCCCUUGACUUUGGGAUAACUUCAGGAAACUGGGGCUAAUACCGGAUAGGAGUUCCUGCUGCAUGGUGGGGGUUGGAAAGUUUCGGCGGUUGGGGAUGGACUCGCGGCUUAUCAGCUUGUUGGUGGGGUAGUGGCUUACCAAGGCUUUGACGGGUAGCCGGCCUGAGAGGGUGACCGGCCACAUUGGGACUGAGAUACGGCCCAGACUCCUACGGGGGGCAGCAGUGGGGAAUAUUGCACAAUGGGCGGAAGCCUGAUGCAGCAACGCCGCGUGCGGGAUGACGGCCUUCGGGUUGUAAACCGCUUUCGCCUGUGACGAAGCGUGAGUGACGGUAAUGGGUAAAGAAGCACCGGCUAACUACGU